Molecule: ribosomal RNA, 234 nt
Filed under: uncultured bacterium
Lineage: Bacteria
Description: partial 16S ribosomal RNA
Rfam family: Bacterial small subunit ribosomal RNA
Source: RNAcentral
UGAGCAAUCUGCCCUUCUCUUCGGAAUAAGCGUGGGAAACCGCGUCUAAUGCCGAAUACGACCUCCUUUCGCAUGAUCGGAGGUGGAAAGCUCCGGCAGAGAAGGAUGAGCUCGCGGCCUAUCAGCUAGUUGGUGUGGGUAAUGGCCCACCAAGGCGACGACGGGUAGCCGGCCUGAGAGGGUGACCGGCCACACUGGGACUGAGACACGGCCCAGACCUCCUACGGGAGGCAG